CUUCUUCUCGUCUUGAGAGUUUGAGAAUAUGGCUUUGUCCCUCUUUGAUGUGCUUAUUAUGCAAAAGUCAAUUACCCAGGUCUCUUAAACAGCUUGAGAUAAUGUGUUGUGGACAGCUGGAGCUAAUCAGUGAGAGGUUCCUCGAUGACAGCUGGCAACUCGAAGAAAUUGACAUCAGGGACUGCCCAAACCUGAAAUCCUUGCCCGAGGGACUGUGCGGCCUCACCGACCGUCGGUCAUUAAUAAUUUUUUAUUGUCAAAGUCUUGUUUCGUUGCCGAGAAUGAAUGUGUGGCCAAGAGUGAUACGGAUCGAAAAUUGCGAUAAAUUGGAGGUGGCACAGUUGGCGAGAGACAUGAUGCACACCAGUAAUCUUGAAAAACUGGAAAUUGAUUACUUUGAAGGUUUGACGACUACAACUUUCUUCCCCACCAACCUAACAACACUGUCAAUCUACAAUAUCAAGAACUGUAAGGCACUGAUGGAAUCUCAAGGGUUGCAGAGACUCACCUCUUUGAGAGAAUUGGAUCUGAGGGGUGAAGAUGAUGGAGGUCUGGUGUCAUUUCCACCUGCUGCUAAGAAUUCAAAGGAGACGGAGAUACUGCUUCCCAGAUCUCUUGUUAAGUUGAGUAUUGCAGGCUUCCCAAAUCUAAAGAAACUGAGCAAGGGCUUUCAAUUCCUCACCUCUCUUGAAAGUAUUUGGAUCUUCAACUGUCCGAAGCUUACAACCCUUCCAGUGGAGGAAGGCCUGCCUCUUUCACUUGCGCUACUUUAUACUAGCAAUUGUCCUCUGCUUGAAGAGAGAUACAAAGGACGAUACAGGCACAAGAUAGCACACAUCCCUUGCGUACUAAUUAAUUAAUUACGAAGUCAUAUAUUACGACGUCAAACUUUCCUGACUUUGAAAAGUGAAGGAACAUACUGAAGCUUGUCAAACUUUCCUAUGUUUUAAAUUUGAACUUUUUAUUUCUUCCAUCUGCGGGUCUCCAUAUGCUGAGCAAUGAGCACAUCCUUUUCCUCCUCCACAUAAUAUGACAUUUCGAGUCUCAACUCGAUCCCUUCCAGGAAGAGUUUGUAAUACACUGCUUUGUAGUUUUGUAUCUAUAGAAACAAUAUCAGCUCUGUCGAGGUUUGUCAAAUACGCUAAGCUGUGAAAAUGCAAUUCAAUUUGUUAGUUUUGUUUCGUGCUG
RNAcentral lists this long non-coding RNA (1188 nucleotides) under Fragaria vesca (wild strawberry). Its description in RNAcentral is "long non-coding RNA (FVES_LNC003846)". The record is from RNAcentral. Lineage: Eukaryota; Viridiplantae; Streptophyta; Magnoliopsida; Rosales; Rosaceae.